GUCAGGAUGGCCCGAGCGGUCUAAAGGCGCUGCGUUUCAGGUCGCAGUCUCCCCUGGAGGCGUGGGUUCGAAUCCCACUUCUGACA
This 86-nucleotide transfer RNA is filed under the name Equus caballus (horse). RNAcentral describes it as "tRNA-Sup (TCA) (tRNA-Sup-TCA-1-1)". It matches the Rfam family "tRNA". Rfam says of the family: Transfer RNA (tRNA) molecules are approximately 80 nucleotides in length. Lineage: Eukaryota; Metazoa; Chordata; Mammalia; Perissodactyla; Equidae. The record is from RNAcentral.